CAUGCGAGUCCAGAGCUUUCGGAGCUCGGCGUACCGCUCAGUAACACGUGGGUAACCUCACUUAUGCAGGGGAAUAACCUCGGGAAACUGAGUAUAAUGCCCCCUAUUCCACUACGCCUGGAACGGUGAGUGGAUCAAAGCUCAGGCGGCAUAGGAUGGGCCUGCGGCGUAUCAGGUUGUAGGGGGUGUAAAGUACCCUCUAGCCAUCUACGCGUACGGGUGUUGGGAGACAUAGCCCGGAGAUGGAUUCUGAGACACGAAUCCAGACCCUACGGGGUGCAGCAGGCGCGAAAACUUGACAAUGCGAGCAAUCGUGAUCAGGGAACUCCAAGUGGCUGGGGUAAGACCCAGUCUUUUCAUAACUCUUCAAAGGUUGUAGAAUAAGGGGUGGGUAAGGACGGUGCCAGCCGCCGCGGUAAUACCGGCGCCUCAAGUGGUAGUCGCUUUUAUUGGGCCUAAAACGUCCGUAGCCGGUUUGGUACAUUCGUGGGUAAAUCAACUCGCUCAACGAGUUGAAUUCUGCGAGGACGGCCAGACUUGGGACCGGGAGAGGUGUGGGGUACUCUCAGGGUAGGGGUAAAAUCCUGUCAUCCUGAGAGGACCACCUGUUGCGAAGGCGCCACACUAGAACGGAUCCGACGG
This 642-nucleotide ribosomal RNA is filed under the name uncultured archaeon. Its description in RNAcentral is "bacterial SSU rRNA". It matches the Rfam family "Archaeal small subunit ribosomal RNA", at positions 50 to 697 of the family's 1478-position model. The record is from RNAcentral.